UGGUGUAUAGAAAGCCACUUAUUGUAUAAU
Molecule: non-coding RNA, 30 nt
Filed under: Mus musculus (house mouse)
Lineage: Eukaryota; Metazoa; Chordata; Mammalia; Rodentia; Muridae
Source: RNAcentral